GUUCCUUAGAUUCCCCUCUCAGGUUUCAGCUGGACGCUGGUCCUUGGCUUCUUGGUGAUUUGGGCCGUUCUGUAUUAAACAACCAUCACCUCCGCCACAGAGUGAGGUUUUCAGCUUUGGGGAGACAGGGUUCCCAGGGAGCCAGUUUCAUAGGGUUGUCUGCAGCCCAGUAAAGUCAGCAUAAGCUCUGCUGCUGUGAGUAACAACACGUGAUACAGGAAAGAGGGGACAUCAGCUGGACACAGCCUUCAAGACCAGAUAGCUGGCUGUGACAGUGUUACCACCAAGUGGCACCUGAGGAACAUGCUGGCAUCACUCCUUUGGGAUGGAGGAGAAAAAGACCAGAUCCAACCCCAUGCCCAUCCGAGAAGGCCAACCAAUGUCUCCAAGAGCCCAGUGCCUCAGGGCAGAGCUCCCUGUCAUACAGCUAGAUGGCUUUGCCACUGGGAAAAGUGUGUACUCGCUCAGAGGCCCACAUCUGCAUAAUUAUUUUGUGCUUUUCCAGCCAAGGAAUAUCUUACCCUGGUCCCACAUCCUGUAACCUCUCUGCUCUCUCCACCAGCCUUACUAGAAAGUUCUACAGAGCUCCACUAUAUACACAAAA
Odobenus rosmarus divergens (Pacific walrus) is the source of this 604-nucleotide RNA transcript. RefSeq lists it as uncharacterized. The transcript has 2 exons. NCBI's taxonomy places the organism in Eukaryota, Metazoa, Chordata, Mammalia, Carnivora, Odobenidae. The record is from RefSeq and is a predicted model, not a curated record.